Molecule: ribosomal RNA, 497 nt
Filed under: uncultured bacterium
Lineage: Bacteria
Description: partial 16S ribosomal RNA
Rfam family: Bacterial small subunit ribosomal RNA
Source: RNAcentral
GAUGAACGCUGGCGGCGUGCCUAAUACAUGCAAGUCGAGCGAACAGACGAGGAGCUUGCUCCUCUGACGUUAGCGGCGGACGGGUGAGUAACACGUGGAUAACCUACCUAUAAGACUGGGAUAACUUCGGGAAACCGGAGCUAAUACCGGAUAAUAUAUUGAACCGCAUGGUUCAAUAGUGAAAGACGGUUUUGCUGUCACUUAUAGAUGGAUCCGCUCCGCAUUAGCUAGUUGGUAAGGUAACGGCUUACCAAGGCAACGAUGCGUAGCCGACCUGAGAGGUUGAUCGGCCACACGGGAACUGAGACACGGUCCAGACUCCUACGGGAGGCAGCAGUAGGGAAUCUUCCGCAAUGGGCGAAAGCCUGACGGAGCAACGCCGCGUGAGUGAUGAAGGUCUUCGGAUCGUAAAACUCUGUUAUUAGGGAAGAACAAAUGUGUAAGUAACUAUGCACGUCUUGACGGUACCUAAUCAGAAAGCCACGGCUAACUACGUG